This 5035-nucleotide unclassified non-coding RNA is filed under the name Homarus americanus (American lobster). Its description in RNAcentral is "inactive dipeptidyl peptidase 10-like, transcript variant X2". The record is from RNAcentral. Lineage: Eukaryota; Metazoa; Arthropoda; Malacostraca; Decapoda; Nephropidae.
ACACUUUAAUGACCCCACCUGAACACUUAAUUGCAGUUCAUGAUACAAACAGUGGGAUUAAAAGCUCCCCUGAGGUAAUUUAUGAAUUUACUAUAAAAGAACAAAAAUAUCGUAAGUAAUUGAGAUAUUUUGACAUAUUAGCAGAAUAAAGAUUUUUAGUGUAACAGCUAAUAAAAAAAUCAAUUGAAAUACCAAAAGUAACAUUAUUUCCUCUAUUACCUGAAGCUAAUUAGUUAUAUCAGGUAGAACAUUCCUAAAAAUGAACUACAGUAUUUCUGAGAACAUUUACCAAACACUGGAAGGGUGUGUGUGUGUGUGUGUGUGCGUGUGUGUGUGUGUGUGUGUGUGUGUGUGUGUGUGUGUGUAUGGUGAGAUGUGUACAGUAGAUCUUCACUUGUUAUCCUUAUAAAGCGGAGGACACACACACACACACACACACACACACACACACGUUCAUAUAUAAAAACACCCAAGCACAAGUUUGCUUUUACAUGGUGAGUGUGUUUGUGUAUGUGUGUGGAAGUGCAUGUGUGUGUGAUUUUUACCGCAGGGGGAAGGAGGAUUAGCACAAAGGCGGUCGUGUAGUGUAUGCGUGAGUGUGUGUAUAUCUGAGUGUGUGCGUGAGUGUGUGUGUGUGUGUGUGUGUGUGUGUGGGAGCAGGCUAACCCUCCCGACUCAACAAGUGGCCUCUCUUACUGUCAGGCGAUCACCACCACCAGCACCACCACCAGCACAACACCUCCGCCACUCCCUCUUGCUCACCACCGCCUGGAGUGAGUCACCACUACGUUCUCGCUGACUCACCCAACCACAUCAACAGCUACCUACCCAACCACGCUCACCACACCUUCACCACACAAGAACUGGACUCUUGAAAAAUAGGAAAAAAAAAACACCUCGAUUGUUCUCUGUUGACCGCCACACACCUUGAAACACUUAAGAAAACAAACACCAGUGCUGUGUGUGUGUGUGUGUGUGUGUGUGUGUGUUUAGUGCCCCGGAAGAUAUAUCAACUGACGGAUCAAAUAACGUCUUUCUUCUUUGUCCAGUGCUUCGUGCGGUCUGAUACCUCCCAGGGUACUUGUCGUGCCCUCCUGGGGGUGUUGAGGUACUCCUGGGGGUGUUGAGAUACUCCUAGGGGUGUUAAGGUACUCCUAGGGGUGUUGAGGUACUCCUAGGGGUGUUGAAGUACCUCUAAAAGACCUCCGAGUACCCGACCCCCCUUCUCUCCCCCCCGAGCUGCCAAGAUGACCUCGGAGAAGGACAUAAACCAGCAAGUGGAGGAGCUGGUCGCCUCCACACCUAACCAACGCAACUGGAGAGGCAUCCUGAUCGCCCUGCUGGUGAUUGGCUGUGUCUGUGGGCUGAUCAUCUUCUCCGUCGUGUUGCUGACGCCGCCUGACGCUGGCCCGAGGUUCACAGGCAACAGGUUCGCAUUAGCUGACAUUAUCAGCGGUGCGUUCAAGCCGCCGGGGUUCAACGGCAAGUGGAUAUCAGGGACGGAGAUCGUGUUUGGUGACGACAGUGGUGGGGUCAGUCUGCUACACGUCCCUACCCUCAUCGUUACGCCCCUCGUCUCAAACUUCACUUUUCGCCGUCUAAACGUUGAAGAGUUCGAUGUUUCCCCCGAUAAGAGAUACAUCUUAUUGAAACAUGACGUCUUACAGGACUAUGACUACAUCUCUUGCCCAGAUGAGUUCCCCACUCGACACUUCCGCCACUUGGCCAAGUACACGGUGCUACAAAUGGACUCGGAACACGUGGUAUCGGUGACGCCCUUCCCGUCCAAGGAGGGUCACCCGGAGCUCCAACACGUGGUAUGGGUGCCUGGGGCCGCCGCUUCUCUCGUCAUGGUCCACGAGAACGACAUCUACGUUAAAGAGUCGCCAACCUCACCUGUCGUCUCACGCCUCACUACUACAGGAGAACGACACAAGGUCUUUAAUGGCGUCACGGAUUAUCUUUACAGAGAGUACGUGUUACACUCGGUAUCGGCAGUGUGGGCUAGCGAGGAGGGUAACAGAUUGUGUUACGCUUCCUUCAACGACUCAGGUGUACGGGAGGCCAAAAUACCUGUGUAUACCGACAAAUAUGCUACCAUUAAUCAAGUCAGGUACCCCAAGGUAGACACAAACAACCCGGUAGCGACGCUGUGGGUGGUAGAGUUGGGUCAGUCGCCGCCCGCACCCAGAGACCUGAAGCCGCCCACGCGAGUUAGAGACCAGUCAGUGGGCGUGUGGGACUACUACUUCACCGGGGUGUCGUGGGUGGACGCGGACACAGUGGCGGUGGUGUGGAGAAACAGAGCUCAGAACGUGAGUGUGGUCACCGCCUGCACCGAACCCAUGUGGUUCUGUGAAGAGCUCUACGUGGAGGAGAGUGGCCCGAGACGAUGGGCGACGGUGGAAAAAGUUCCUCUCUUCGCUAUGAACGGCACCGCCUUCGUCAGCGUGGCGCCCUUGGUAGAUAGCACGUCGGGAACCUAUCCACACAUCCACCAGGGCAGCACCGGCACCGUUCACACCAUCCCCGUUACCUUCGGCACCUACACCGUGUUCUCCGUCGUCGGCUGGGACACUGAGAACCACCACGUGUACUACGUGGCCAACACAGAGACGGAAGUGGCGGAGCGACACCUGUGGAGAGUGACAGAUGUGACCUCACCUACGCCCCGCCAGCAGGAGUGUCUCACCUGCCACCUUAACUACACCACCCCACCUUGUCGUCACUUCACCCCCUACAUGGGUCCUGACAACUUCUACGAGGUGGUCCUUCAGUGUGAGGGUCCAGGUGUUCCUCAUACGAUGUUAUACUCGAUAGUGGACGAGGAGGUGCUGCUUUACAUACACAACAACACGCACCUGCAGCGCCUCAGUCUGGAGAUGGCUUGGCCGCAGCGUAAAGACUACAGAGUCAAGCUGGAUGGUGGCUUCGUUGCCCAGGUACGUCUGAGCAUCCCGCCGGAGUUCACGGAGGAGGAGGCGUUCAUCUACCCGGUGAUGGUACAGGUGGGCGGUGUACCUGGCGAGCAGCGCGUCAACCAUAAGUGGCAUGUUGACUGGACCACUUACCUCGCCUCUAACAAAUCCUGGGUGGCCAUGGAAGUGGAUGUGAGAGGGGCGUCGAGCCAGGAUCUAGGACUCAUGUACAAGCCGGCCUGGAGACUCGGCGAGGUGGAAGUCACAGACCAUGUGGCUGUGGUCAAAUCACUACUGGAGAAGUUGGAGUUCUUGGACGGGUCACGGGUGGCGGCCUUCGGGUGGGGUCACAGCGGGUACAACACCGCCCGACUACUGGCGCAGGACACUGAUAAAGUGUUCGCCUGCGCCGCCGUUGUCAACCCCAUCACUGACUGGUCCCUCUACUCGUCGUACUACACGGAAAAGUACAUGGGGACGGCGCAGGUGGUCCCAGGCGGUAACUACAGAGGGUAUGAAGAGAGCUCCCUCCUCCUGCGGGCGUCGAGCUUCAAGAACAGGACGCUACUGCUGGUACACGGCUCAGCAGACACGGACGUCCACUACGACCACACCCUCAAGUUCUCUCGGGCGCUUACUAAAAAGGGCAUUAUCUUCAGGCAACAGACCUACACAGACGAGGGCCACGACCUGGAGCGGGUCCAGACGCACCUAUAUAAGACGCUCGAGUCAUACUUGGAGGGGUGUUUCCCCGCCUACAACGAGGAGGAGCUGAGCUUACUCUUCGGCCAAGAUGCUCUCCCAUAGUUGCAGCAUCACCGCAGCAGCAUCGAGGAAAACAACAGCAAAAGCAGCAGCAGCAGCAACAGAAACAGCAGCAGCAGCAGCAGAAACAGCAGCAGCAGCAGCAGCACGGGACAGCACCAUCACAAGCUCAGUCAAAGUAUGUGGCAGAGAGCACUUGUUUGGUACCGUCGACUAGCUCUUCAGGUGGUGGGUCCUUUCUAUAGGAUGCCGUCUUGCUGAGAUAUCUGUCUGGGAGGAUCCUGUAGGACUACUCCGGGAGGACAAGGGCAACAACCUAUAGGACUCGUGGAGGACGGGUGAGAGAGCUCCUUAUGUCCUUUACCAACUCCCAUCUAUCAACCCACCCAAGUCCUACUCUAAUAACGGCUACCGAGUGACCCCCCUCGUGAGAUGUCCUUCUUUCUACUGUCAGCCGCUGGGACAUCAUCACCGUGUUGACAGCUGGGUUGCUGACACACUGCUCCUGAGAUGAACUGCUGUGUAUGUGUCAGCUGUGAGUGUGUUUGUUUCUCGUGAUUCUGAGAUGAGAAAAGAAUCGUGUUUGAGAUCCGGGUCGAGAGCUAUGAGGUGAGGUGUUGCAAGAGGUGAGGUGUUGCAAGACGUGAGAGAUGAGGUGAGGUGUUGCAAGACGUGAGAUGUUGCAAGAGGUGACAUGUUGCAAGACGUGAGAGAUGAGGUGAGGUGUUGCAAGACGUGAGGUGUUGCAAGAGGUGAGAUUUUGCAAGACUAGAGAUGUGUUGAUGACCGUCUUGUUCUCUGAGAUGUGUUAUGUUGACAGUCGUUCUAUGAGACUUUUUGAGAUGGUCGUAUUUAGAAGGUGUGUGUAUGUGUGUGUGUCUGUGUAUAUGUGCGGGUUACGUAAACGACCCUGAGAUCCCUGAGAUGUGCUGUGUUAUUCUGAGAAUCUUUUGAGACGUCGUAUUAAAAGAUGCCAAAUGACGGCCCUGAGAUACUGCCUGUCUGUGUGUGUGUGUCUGUGUGUGUGUGUGUCUGUACAGCGGUCAUGGUCGGAGGCGCUAACAAAGAGACUCUCGAGAGAUAGUAUUAAAGAGACUCUCGCUUGAUGGAGGAGGAUCUCUAUCUCUUUAUCUCUCUCUCAAUAAUAAUAAUAACAAGACGUUCGCCAGGCUAAGACCACAAGUUCCAGCCCUGGCAGAGGCGAGGCUCCCCUGACGUCACAAACACUCCAACGGGAAACUGUCUGUCUUGUUGUUGCUUCGUCGUUCGUGGAGGUUAAGGGCGGAGAUACUAGGAUGUGGUGAAGAGUACCGAGAGUACCUUAAGAGUACCGAGAGUACCUUAAGAGUACC